RNAcentral lists this ribosomal RNA (240 nucleotides) under uncultured bacterium. RNAcentral describes it as "partial 16S ribosomal RNA". It matches the Rfam family "Bacterial small subunit ribosomal RNA", at positions 15 to 236 of the family's 1533-position model. The record is from RNAcentral.
GAUCCUGGCUCAGGACGAACGCUGGCGGCGUGCUUAACACAUGCAAGUCGAACGAGAAUCACUGGAAGGAGUUUUCGGACAACGGUAAGGUGAGGACAGUGGCGGACGGGUGAGUAACGCGUGAGGAACCUGCCUUUCAGAGGGGGACAACAGUUGGAAACGACUGCUAAUACCGCAUGACACAUAGAGAUCGUCAUGGUUUUUAUGUCAAAGAUUUAUCGCUGAAAGAUGGCCUCGCGU